This 492-nucleotide ribosomal RNA is filed under the name uncultured bacterium. RNAcentral describes it as "partial 16S ribosomal RNA". It matches the Rfam family "Bacterial small subunit ribosomal RNA", at positions 29 to 507 of the family's 1533-position model. The record is from RNAcentral.
AGUGAACGCUGGCGGUAGGCCUAACACAUGCAAGUCGAACGGCAGCACAGUAAGAGCUUGCUCUUACGGGUGGCGAGUGGCGGACGGGUGAGGAAUACAUCGGAAUCUACUUUUUCGUGGGGGAUAACGUAGGGAAACUUACGCUAAUACCGCAUACGACCUACGGGUGAAAGCAGGGGAUCUUCGGACCUUGCGCGAUUGAAUGAGCCGAUGUCGGAUUAGCUAGUUGGCGGGGUAAAGGCCCACCAAGGCGACGAUCCGUAGCUGGUCUGAGAGGAUGAUCAGCCACACUGGAACUGAGACACGGUCCAGACCCCUAAGGGAGGCAGCAGUGGGGAAUAUUGGACAAUGGGCGGAAGCCUGAUCCAGCCAUACCGCGUGGGUGAAGAAGGCCUUCGGGUUGUAAAGCCCUUUUGUUGGGAAAGAAAAGCAGCAGGUUAAUACCCCGCUGUUCUGACGGUACCCAAAGAAUAAGCACCGGCUAACUUCGUG